Long non-coding RNA from Zonotrichia albicollis (white-throated sparrow), 606 nucleotides. The record is from Ensembl. NCBI's taxonomy places the organism in Eukaryota, Metazoa, Chordata, Aves, Passeriformes, Passerellidae.
CUAAACUGGAACAUUUGAAGUGUCUGAUUUUUCCCUUUAAGCAAAAAGAGGAGGAGAGAUCAAAGAACUCAGUCCAUCACCUUCAGUGUACAAGCACUUUUACGUUCAAGAACAAUUUGGAGCAAGAGUUGCCCCCCUGUUCAAUGGACAGGACAUGAAUAUUAGCAGUUCUUUGGAUGUGAUAGAGGGUCUUGUUGAAGAACAGUUGGCAAUAGCAGAACCAUGGAGUACAGAUAUGGCCCAUCAUUGUCCAAGCAUUAUUUUCCAUCACCAGCUCUCUCACCACCCCUUUGGUAGUCAUGUUCCCAAGACUGACUGCAACUUCUCUGUGAUGAUUUGUUAAGAAGAGAAGCACAUUAGAAGCAGAGUGAGAGAUGCAGGCUGAAGCUGUUAUAAAUUUGGACACCUUACGCAACAUGCAGCACUAAGGAAGAGGUAUCCAGGAUUGUAUUUCACAGUCCUUUCAUGCAUUUCAGGCUGUAUUUGCACAAUGCUGGAAAUAUAUUUAUAAUGUGAACUGAGGAAGCUCAGUGGGUGUCAGACUGGCAACAUAUAACUUUUAGAGAUGAGAAGGGGAGAAUAAAGGAUUGUACACCUCUAAUAUCA